AGCCGAUUUGGUCCUAGUCCCAGUUUUAACUCUUUUCAAGAUGCCACAUGCAAGCCUCUUGGCAGACCAGUGAAAUUCCAAGCCUACUCCCUCCUCUCACUCACAAGCACCAGGAGAGAUAGGCCCUUAGCAUCAGGAAGUUAAAUACAACCCACGACGCUAAGCAAGAAGCCACAACUGCAGUGCUAAGCCUUGGACAAUCAGAUACACCUGGAUCCAGUGAAGAAAAGAAGAAGGGGGUAAAAUACGUGCCAGCCACCGCGGUUAUACGUAUACCCUAAAGUUAAACCCAAACGGUCCAAAGGGUGGUUAAAAUAAACUAAACCUUUAAUCAGAGCUUCUAGCGAGUGGUAGAAAACUAACCUAGAAAGAAAUGAUUAAAUCCUAAUUUGACCCCACGAAAACUAAAACCUAAACCAGGAUUAGAUACCCUGCUAUAUUUAGACGUGAACAACCCUAAACACCAGAGAACUACGAACCCACAGUUUAAAACUCAAAGGACUUGGCGGUUUUCCAAACCUCCCUGGAGGAGCUUGCCGUUAAAUCGAUAACCCACGUAAUACCUCACCAACUCUGGUUAUACCAGCCUGUAUACCAUCGUCGAAAGCCUACUUCCCCAGAAAGUUGGCUACCAGAAAUAGACUCCCCACGUCAGAUCAAGGUGCAGCUCAUGAGUUGGGAACAGGUGAGCUACAAUGUCAAAAGAAAUCAGUGAAAGGAGGGCUGAAAAACCCUCCCAAAAUUGGAUUCAGCAGUAAACUUCAGUCAGAGAAUGAAGUUGAAGAGAGCUCUGGAAUGCGUACACAUCGCCCGUCACUCUCGCCUAGCCAAAGCAAGGGGAGAAAAGUCGUAACAUAGUAGGCCUACCGGAAGGUGGGCCUGGCCAAUA
RNAcentral lists this non-coding RNA (889 nucleotides) under Pygmaeocidaris prionigera. RNAcentral describes it as "12S ribosomal RNA". It matches the Rfam family "Archaeal small subunit ribosomal RNA", at positions 379 to 1467 of the family's 1478-position model. The record is from RNAcentral. Lineage: Eukaryota; Metazoa; Echinodermata; Echinoidea; Arbacioida; Arbaciidae.